This 1332-nucleotide long non-coding RNA is filed under the name Olea europaea subsp. europaea. Lineage: Eukaryota; Viridiplantae; Streptophyta; Magnoliopsida; Lamiales; Oleaceae. The record is from RNAcentral.
CUUUAUUUAGUCCUUGAAAAGGGAAACCUACAGUGCCUUUGUCUACAAAUAUUCUUCUUUGGAUGGAAGUUUAGAUGACUUGCUCCCUCUAAAAGAAGAGGGAUGCUUAUUGAAGUUCCUUUCUGAACAAGGGUAAGAUUGCAUGUGUAAAAGUUUAGAAGUUUUUAAUGUUGGUUCUUUGGGGAGAGAACAAAAUAGAGUUUUUAUACUACAAUUCAAUUUAUAGUUCUGUAUUAUGCUUUGGUCGCUUUCCCAAGGCAAUUUAUCUUGCCUCAUUCGCUUUUCCUAUAUGUUAGGGUAAAGUCGUUUGGUGAGGCUUGAGAUGAGAAAUUAGUCAGAUAUUCACAAAUUUCCAGGAAUUAGAAAAAUUGAUGUCUGUGUGCUGAACUUCAUUGUUUCUUGGAUCUGACCAGUUGUUGAUGUUAUGUAAAAAUUAUGGGUUAAUGAAUGAAACAAUCUUAAGAAAAUAAGUAUUCUUUUCUAAAUUUGAUUUUAUGGAUUCAAAUCCUCUAGGACAUAUGAUUCUUGGGACUUCAAUGCCUUACAAAAGAAUAAACCCUAGUGAUUUUCAUCUCGAGGCUUUUGACGUUCUGUUAAACUGCAAUUUUCUUGUUCGUAUAUUUAUUUCAAUAGCGAUUGUUUUGUCUGUUCUUUUCGUGUAAAUUUCUUGCCCCAUGUAAUUAUCUACUGAUAAUAUAACUUAGACGGUAUCUUUCUUCUGUCUCUUUUAUGGCCACAGUACAAGCGUUGUCCAGUUACAUUAAUGCCUGCAACAGUGGAGCAAAUCAGGAGGCUUUUUCACGAUAUGUAAAACCUAUUGUUUGACCUCGACUGGGAUGAUUCAGCACAUUCCUUUGGAGUUUACAGCAUGUUCAAACUCGAGUAUUGCCAGCUUAAGGUGCAAAUUAAAGCACUGCAUAGGAAAGGAAUGGUGUUGAUCUCCUGCUCUCUCCACUCACUCAAGGGGGGGUAAGCGUAUUAUUGGCUUAGCUCUCACUUAGAUGGUAUUUAUUGAAAUUGAUGAAACCAUAGUAAAAUACCCUUUUCUCAAGCAAUUCGUGGAUCCAUGCUUUGUAGGAAAGCUAUAUUCUAGGGUAGAGAUGAUUUGUGUUAAACAUGUUAUUUUUCUCUGUUAUGAUGAAAGAGAAAUUGAUGUAUUCACCUUUUGUCCUUUAAAAUUAUUCGAAGUCUUGUUUCAUAGUUUGCCAUCUUGUUUUUCUUUUGCUCCAAAUGGGGCGAUUUUGUCUUACGUUAUUUACUUGCAGCUUUGAGUGGUGGUCCUUGUCACUUAGUUCUCCGCUAACUCAUCUCACGCAUGUCUGUUAAGAGGAG